RNAcentral lists this ribosomal RNA (203 nucleotides) under uncultured bacterium. Its description in RNAcentral is "partial 16S ribosomal RNA". It matches the Rfam family "Bacterial small subunit ribosomal RNA", at positions 328 to 538 of the family's 1533-position model. The record is from RNAcentral.
ACGCUCGACACCUACGGAGGCAGCAGUUAGGAAUAUUGGGCAAUGGAGGAAACUCUGACCCAGCAACGCCGCGUGAAGGAAGAAGGUUUUCGGAUUGUAAACUUCUGAUCUAGGGGAAGAAGGAAGUGACGGUACCCUAGGAGAAAGCCACGGCUAACUACGUGCCCGCAGCCGCCGGUAAGUCUGAGCGGGCGUGGCAAGGC